GAUCAUGGCCCAGAACGAACGCUGGCGGCGCGUUUAAGCAUGCAAGUCGAGCGGCAAGGGCCUUCGGGCCCCUAGAGCGGCGGACGGGUGAGUAACACGUGGACAAUCUGCCCCCGGCCCGGGAUAGCCCAGGGAAACCUGGAUUAAUACCGGAUGAGACGGGACCCGCGAUGGCGGGACCCGGGAAAGGCGCUGCGGCGCCGCCGGGGGAUGAGUCUGCGUCCCAUUAGCUAGACGGCGGGGUAACGGCCCACCGUGGCGACGAUGGGUAGCCGGCCUGAGAGGGUGGACGGCCACAUUGGAACUGAGACACGGUCCAGACUCCUACGGGAGGCAGCAGCUAAGAAUCUUCCGCAAUGGGCGAAAGCCUGACGGAGCGACGCCCGCGUGAACGAAGAAGGCCGUGAGGUUGUAAAGUUCUUUUCGGGAGGGGGAACAACCGUGGCAGGGAAUGGCCGCGGGAUGACGUGAAUCCCGGAAUAAGCCCCGGCUAGCUACGUGCCAGCCGCCGC
RNAcentral lists this ribosomal RNA (512 nucleotides) under uncultured bacterium. RNAcentral's name for it is "bacterial SSU rRNA". It matches the Rfam family "Bacterial small subunit ribosomal RNA", at positions 15 to 518 of the family's 1533-position model. The record is from RNAcentral.